AUUGAACGCUGGCGGAAUGCUUUACACAUGCAAGUCGAACGGCAGCACGGACUUCGGUCUGGUGGCGAGUGGCGAACGGGCGAGUAAUGUAUCGGAACGUGCCCAGUCGUGGGGGAUAACGUAGUGAAAAUUACGCAAAUACCGCAUACGAUCUAUGGAUGAAAGCGGGGGAUCGCAAGACCUCGCGCGAUUGGAGCGGCCGAUAUCAGAUUAGGUAGUUGGUGGGGUAAAGGCCCACCAAGCCAACGAUCUGUAGCUGGUCUGAGAGGACGACCAGCCACACUGGAACUGAGACAUGGUCCAGACUCCUACGGGAGGCAGCAGUGGGGAAUUUUGGACAAUGGGCGAAAGCCUGAUCCAGCCAUUCCGCGUGCAGGAUGAAGGCCCUCGGGUUGUAAACUGCUUUUGUACAGAACGAAAAGGUUUCUACUAAUACUAGGAGCUCAUGACGGUACUGUAAGAAUAAGCACCGGCUAACUACGUGCCAGCCGCCGCGGUAA
RNAcentral lists this ribosomal RNA (500 nucleotides) under uncultured bacterium. RNAcentral's name for it is "partial 16S ribosomal RNA". It matches the Rfam family "Bacterial small subunit ribosomal RNA", at positions 30 to 523 of the family's 1533-position model. The record is from RNAcentral.